AUUGAACGCUGGCGGAAUGCUUUACACAUGCAAGUCGAACGGCAGCACGGACUUCGGUCUGGUGGCGAGUGGCGAACGGGUGAGUAAUGUAUCGGAACGUGCCCAGUCGUGGGGGAUAACGUAGUGAAAAUUACGCUAAUACCGCAUACGAUCUAUGGAUGAAAGCGGGGGAUCGCAAGACCUCGCGCGAUUGGAGCGGCCGAUAUCAGAUUAGGUAGUUGGUGGGGUAAAGGCCCACCAAGCCAACGAUCUGUAGCUGGUCUGAGAGGACGACCAGCCACACUGGAACUGAGACACGGUCCAGACUCCUACGGGAGGCAGCAGUGGGGAAUUUUGGACAAUGGGCGAAAGCCUGAUCCAGCCAUUCCGCGUGCAGGAUGAAGGCCCUCGGGUUGUAAACUGCUUUUGUACAGAACGAAAAGGUUUCUACUAAUACUAGGAGCUCAUGACGGUACUGUAAGAAUAAGCACCGGCUAACUACGUGCCAGCCGCCGCAGUAA
Molecule: ribosomal RNA, 500 nt
Filed under: uncultured bacterium
Lineage: Bacteria
Description: partial 16S ribosomal RNA
Rfam family: Bacterial small subunit ribosomal RNA
Source: RNAcentral